Molecule: ribosomal RNA, 474 nt
Filed under: Triticum aestivum (bread wheat)
Lineage: Eukaryota; Viridiplantae; Streptophyta; Magnoliopsida; Poales; Poaceae
Description: partial small subunit ribosomal RNA
Source: RNAcentral
AUGUCUCCUCGUGACCGGCCCACCGGGGAGGUGAGGGAGAAUGGGGAGAGGGUCGGGUUCGAGGUCGUGACGCUCGACGGGCGAAGCGGACCGCUCGCAUCAUCCAGGAUUUCAAGCCCUGAGUCUGCUAGAUGGCCUACUGUUGGGAAGUACAAAGUAGAUACAGCAUCUUUGGAAUCGCUAGCAUUGCCUGAGUUGCAGGUCAAAGAAGAUACAGAUCUCUUCAUCAUUGAUGAAGUGGGUAAAAUGGAGUUGUUCAGUCCAGCAUUUUUCCCUGCUGUGAUGAGAGUUAUGGAGUCCAACAUCCCUGUGCUGGCCACCAUACCACUACCAAGAUAUGGCAGAGACAUUCCUGGAGUUGCAAGGUUGAGGAAUCAUCCUGGAGCAGAUGUUUUCACCUUAAAUACUGGCAACAGGGAUACCAUGAGAGAGAGUAUCUACAAUCAGUUGAGCAGAUUGAUGCAGAAGAGGUGA